AGUCGAACGCCCCGCAAGGGGAGUGGCAGACGGGUGAUUAACCCCUGGGAACGAACAAAAAACUUCCGAAUAGCCCCGGGAAACUGGGUGUAAAACCGGAUACGCCGUAUUGGGAAAGAUUUAUCGGCGAAAGAUCGGCCCGCGUUGGAUUAGCUAGUUGGCGGUGUAAUAGACCACCAAGGCGACGAUCCAUACCUGGUCUGACAGGAUGAUCAACCACACUGGGACUGAAACACAGCCCAUACUCCUACGGGAGGCAGCAGUGGG
This 267-nucleotide ribosomal RNA is filed under the name uncultured bacterium. Its description in RNAcentral is "partial 16S ribosomal RNA". It matches the Rfam family "Bacterial small subunit ribosomal RNA", at positions 60 to 358 of the family's 1533-position model. The record is from RNAcentral.